GCGAACAUGUUGAAAUUGGUAAACAGUCUUCUUUUAAGCAGAAGUGGGUGUAAACCCUUAAGAGUUCAAGUCUCUUUGUUCGUA
This 84-nucleotide transfer RNA is filed under the name Stropharia rugosoannulata. RNAcentral's name for it is "tRNA-Leu". It matches the Rfam family "tRNA". From Rfam's summary of the family: Transfer RNA (tRNA) molecules are approximately 80 nucleotides in length. Their secondary structure includes four short double-helical elements and three loops (D, anti-codon, and T loops). Lineage: Eukaryota; Fungi; Basidiomycota; Agaricomycetes; Agaricales; Strophariaceae. RNAcentral also lists the same sequence under 1 other name. The record is from RNAcentral.